This 5258-nucleotide long non-coding RNA is filed under the name Macaca mulatta (Rhesus monkey). RNAcentral describes it as "lncRNA (ENSMMUG00000059625.1)". The record is from RNAcentral. Lineage: Eukaryota; Metazoa; Chordata; Mammalia; Primates; Cercopithecidae.
GUGAGGGUCACAGCCUGGCUCUCCCGCGAUGGGCGGGCGCGUCCAGCCGCGACUCCUCCCCGGAGCCUCACCGGCGCCGGACUCUGCCCUGGGCGCGCCCCGCGGGGCGGAGCCAAACCUGCGGGCGGUGGCGGCUGCACUCCCAGGACCCUGGCAACCGACCCUGGCCCCAGGGCCCGAUCACCCAGGGGAGGAGCAGCACCGGGACCCCGUGCCGGCUGGGCGCCCCCCAAGCCAUGCAGCCAAACUGCCUUUGUUCAUGGAGUAGAUCUACUGGGACAACAACAUCUGUUCAGGCUCCUGAAGGACACACCUGGGACCUCCCAUCAGGAGUUCUGUGACUGUUACUUAGUGACCUACUUUGGAAAACUUUGAUUCUUCAGCUAUCUUGGGCCCAAGAAGUUGAAGCUUAGAAAUUCCUUCAGAAUGUAGCGGAGGCAAAGUGGUAAGUUAGAAGGAGCUAGCAGACUCCUGAGAAAGAGCCAGACAACUCGUGGCUUGGGAUCCAAUGGCCACCAACUAGUUAUCUUUGUUUAUGUUGUUGAGCCUUGUUUCUUCGUCUGCAAAAUGGGAAUAAUAAUGCCAACCUCUCAGGGCAUAUGUGAGAAGUAUUAUAGAGAGCAUACCCUACCGGGCAUACAGUCCUCACUUAACAAAUCCUGGCCCCUGCUUCCCACUCUUCUCCAGAUGGGAAGGGAUGCGUGUGCUUUGCACCUUUUUGCAGUUUAGUUGCUGAACUGAACAUUGGCUGAAACUUUCAGCUGUUUUUCAAUGCUUCAAAUUAUGCCAGUGAACUAUGAGGAUAGACUAUUUCAUGAAAAAGACAUCUGAAUUUGGGGUCAACCUAUUUGUGUUCAGUUGAUGAGGUUCUUAUAACCCUGAAAAUCUUACAUCCUUUUUUGUACCUUAUUGCAUUUUAUAUAUAUAUAUAUAUACACAUAUAUAUAUAUAUACACACACACACUGAAGAUAAUAACUAUAACACAGUGUCGUAAUGAUUAAUUUUGGCAAUAUGUGAAAAAUUAUUUGGUAAGUGGCACCUGUUUUGUCAAUAGCAUGUAUUUGUAUAUUGUGUUUACACCAAUAUUUCAUUUUUCCUCCAAAAUAGCUUUUAUCUUAUAUCUAAGAAUUUUCUGUAGCACUGGCUAUAAUAUAUGUGGAUAUACAAAUGAGUAGCAUGCAGUUGAAUAAAAUUAAUUCUACUUAGCAGAAGCUUAGAUUCUUAUUUGAAAACAGAACUUGGGUGCAGUGUAACAUACAUGUCUUUCGUAUACUGUGUGUCAUUUUCAGGUAAACUGCACAGUCACCUGAGAUUUAGCCAGCUGACACUGGAUGUCACCAUUGUGCUGCAUAAAGUAGCUGCAGAACAGGUGUGCUAUUUAGUAUUCAGGGCACAGUUAGUCUCAUCAAAGGUUUGGAGAUAUGUUCGCUGUUUUCCCUCAUAUAACCCAAUUAUCCUUGUGGCACUUUUGUAGUCACUUACUUUUUCAGUUUCUAAUAUUCAAGCUCUAUAAAAUAGCAAUCAAAAAUGAACAAAUAAUCCCUUAGAACCAGGAAACGAAAACCUUAAAACUCAGAAACUGUACUGAAACCAAGCAGGGCUCUUGAUUGCCAUCCGGAGUAAUUGAUUCUGGCUGACUUAGUAGAAGAAGAAUUUACUGAGAGGAUAUAGAGCAGCUACUGGAAUUGAUGGGAAUGUUGAAAAACUAGGUUUGGAAAAUGGGAGGAUCUCAUAUACUAGGACACCAGUGAAAUCAGGUUGUGGGAUGAGGAGUUAGGGUCCUCCUGACAUAGCCACUAGCCACUGACCACUGGAUACUGCCACUGAAUUUGCUGCCACUUGAAGCACCACUCUGUGUCACAGACCCCCCCCCUUUCCUGAACAAUGACUGGAUUUCCACUGCCUCCAGCUCCAACCAGCCAGAUGGCCAUUCCCUGAGUUGCACUUCCAGCGGGAGCUCUCAUUUGGCUGAUUCUAGGUGUUGUCCCUAUGCCCUAGCUCCAAGGAGUGAGCAUGAACAAGAGACCUUUCCUGCAAGACUCAUACAGACGGUGCCUCAGCAUAUCUGGGAAGGAGAUUCAAGCACUAGCUAGCCAAAACCUGCCAGACAUCCAACAUGGUGCUUUUCAAUCAGCAGGCCCCAGAUGUGAGUGAAGAAUACCUCUGUGUGGUCAAUCAGAUUUUGUUGCCCCUUCUCUGGGCUGACCUGGGGUCAGUUGUUUAUACCUUGCAGUACCUGGCAGCUUCACUCUUGUCUUUGCCUCAAUCCUGGGGGAUCCGUAAUAGCAACGGCUAAGCCUGUUUUAAUGUGGCCAAGGAGACAACUCCUUAGGCAAACUGGAAGUCUCAAAAAGUUUAGGUCAAAAAGAAAAAGGUCUUGCAACAUUAAAAGAAAAGAAAAUGGUAGACUUUGCUGUGUGCCGUGGUUUCCUUAGAACACUACUCUAGCGACCGGGUGCCAUGACUCAUGCCUGUAAUCCCAGCACUUUGGGAGGCCAAGGUGGGUGGAUCACUUGAGGCCAGUAAUUCAAGACCAGUCUGGCCAACAGGGCGAAACCCCAUCUCUAGUAAAAAUACAAAAAAAUUAGCUGGGUGUAGUGGUUCACCUCUGUAAUCCCAGCUACUUGGGAAGCUGAGGCACGAGAAUCACUGGAAUCCAGAAAGUGGAGGUUGAAGUAAGCAGAGAUCAUGCCACUCCACUCAAACCUGGACAAGAGUGAGACCCUGUUUCAAAAAAAAAACAAAAAACAAACAACAACAACAACAACAAAAAUCAGAACACUGCUCUAGGUACAUGCCAGCCUCUGCUCUUGCUUUCCCAUUUGCCUGGAACUCUCUUCUCCUAGAUCCUAGAGAGCCACACGGCUUGCACUUGAUUUCUUCAUCUUUUGCUCAAAUACCAACUCCUCAGAUCAGCUUCCCUCACUGCUCAUCUAGAACAGCACCUCCUUUUACCCUCAGUCCCCUGAUGGACUUUCUUCAUGUCACUCAUCACAGCCUCCCUUAGACUCCCUCUAUAUUUACCUGUUUGUUUAAUGUCUGUCUCUCGCUCUGUACUGAAAAUCCUAUGAAACUAUGGUCUUUGGCUCAGCCCUGUAACCACAGUUCCUAACACAGUGGCUUUCUGUAAAUAUUUACUCUCUCAAUAAAUGAAUCAAGGGUCAAGUAAAGAAGGGAAACACCCUUGUUACAGUCUCUACAAUAUGAACAGUGUGUGUAAUCUUUUUCUAGGGUUGCUCUAACAAAGUACCACACACGGAGUGGCUUGAACAGGGAAAUGGAUCAUCUCUCAGUUCUAGAGCCUGGAAGUUCAAGAUCAAGGUGUCUGCAGGGAUGUGAGCAAGAUCUGUUUCGUGCCUCUCCCCUGCUAGUGGUUUGCUAGUAAUGGUUGAUGUUCCUUGGCAUAUAGAAGCAUCGCUACAUCUCUGCCUUCAUUUUCACAGGGCAUUCGGUGUUCUCGUCUCUCGCCACAUUGCUCAUUUUCAUAAGGAUAUCAGGCAUAUUGGAGUAGGGAUCGCCCCUACUCCAGUACCUGACCUCAUGUUUACUUAACUAAUUACACCUGCAAAACCUUAUUUCUAAAUAAGAUCCCAUUCUGAGGAACUGGGGGUUAGGACUUUAACAUGAAUUUGGAGGGAGGACACAGUUCAACCCGUCACAGGCACUUGUUUGUGUUUAUUGUAUAAAACUUCUGCUGUUCUCAUGUCAUUAACCAGAGCACAAGGUUCAGGUAGAUUCUCCUGGGUGCCUGGUGGUGUGGUGGUUUAUCAUAUGGAUUACAAUUCACAAUAAUAUGUGUACAUUGCUUUGUGGAUUGUAAACUCUUCAUUAGAUGGUAGCAUCAUUGUUUGAGGAAACUGACAAAUAAUCAGUGUAUUAGCAAUAAGGAAUUUGUUCCACGGAUUUGCUAGUCUUAAAGUCCUCCAAAGCAAUUUUUCCUUCAUAGCCCAGUUCAGUCUGCAGAUUAUUUAAAAUAUAACCUGCUUCUUUCCUGGAAGAAAGGAAACCACUCAGAUUGCUUGUCAGCCUUAAUUGUGGAUAAUGGUUUCAUAUUUUAAGUACUUGUUUGACAAAUAUGUACAAAUAAUUUAUUAUAUAUUAUAUGUGCUGCUGUAAGUGCUUGACAAAUAUUAACUCAUGAACAACCCCACAUUGAUUAUUGUUGUUAAGAAUUAAUAUUAUUUUCAUUUUACUGUUAAGGAAACUGAGGCACAGAGCAGUUAAGGGACUUGAUAGAGGUCACACAGGUACGGAGUGGCAGAAUGGAGCCAUGAGACUAGGCAGGCUGCCUCUAAACUGUUUCGGCUGUGGAACCCUCUUUCUUCACAGAAAGCCUCAUGGGAAAAUUCAGUGUGUGUGACAGAACAAAGCAGAGCUGCUGUGGUUGAAGUUGAGGUGGCAGAGCUCUGUCUGUUCAGCAGCCCUCCGCCUCCUCCCUGGGAGCCCUGUUUGAAAGGCCCUUGUCUAGGAAAUACCUCCUCUUGGCGUGAUGCCACCUGUAAGCUGUCUUCAAUCCAUUCUAGCAUAAGACAAAGAAAAGUAUUUCCUUACUUUAAUUAACUGAUUGUGAUUUAUUUUGAAAUUUUUAUCCCCUUAAUCUACUUCUGGCUGAAAUAAAAUGCUAACAUGGAUUUUCCCCAGGAUAGUAAUGCCAUAUGGCAAUUUGGACUUUGCCGGCUUGUGUUCCCCUUGGGUUUCUUUCUACGAACCAAGGACUCUGGGUACAAAAGUUUUCUGAACCAAAGACAGAUAUGGAAUUUAAUUUCAUAUGGAUACAGUUAUAAAGCUUUGCAACCAGAUAGAGGUGAACUACCUGCCCUGCUUGUCUUCUGUGGCUAUUGAUAAUAUAAAAUAACAGGGUAACAAUAUUGCCAGUGACAGUCCAUUGAGUGCCUUCUGUUAGCAGGCAUUAAAAAAAAAAAAAACACAAAAACUUCAUUUUCAUAUCUCUAGGUGUUAUCACCCCUAUCUGACAGCUAUUUAAGUGAAAACUAAGAUUUUAUGUAACUUGUUUAACAUGGCCCAACCAGUGAGGGGAAAAGGUGGGAAGUUUUCAGAAAUAUCAGUGAUCAAGAGACAAAAUUCCUUGAUUUUAAGAAUAAAAGGUACAUACAAGAGUAUAUUUUAGGAUAAAAGACGUAAGGCCCGAUGCAAUUUUCAAAUUAUGAAAGAGCCUGAGAAUGCAGACAGAUUCAUUCUAAAGAGUGAUUCAUUCCUGUGAUAAAAUGCCUCUUAUCAUCUGUUAAUGUACACACUG